Molecule: ribosomal RNA, 406 nt
Filed under: uncultured bacterium
Lineage: Bacteria
Description: partial 16S ribosomal RNA
Rfam family: Bacterial small subunit ribosomal RNA
Source: RNAcentral
AUUGAACGCUGGCGGCAGGCCUAACACAUGCAAGUCGAACGAGUGGCGGACGGGUGAGUAAUGUCUGGGAAACUGCCCGAUGGAGGGGGAUAACUACUGGAAACGGUAGCUAAUACCGCAUACCAUCGGAUGUGCCCAGAUGGGAUUAGCUUGUAGGUGAGGUAACGACGCACCUAGGCGACGAUCCCUAGCUGGUCUGAGAGGAUGAGCAGCCAGACUGGCACUGUGACACGGUCCAGACACCCACGGGAGGCAGCCGUGGGGAAUAGUGAACAAUAGGCGCAAGCCUGUUCAAGCCAUACCGCGUGGGUGAAGAGGGCCUUCGGGUUGUAAAGUACUUUCAGCGGGGAGGCGUAACCCGCAGAAGAAGCACCGGCUAACUCCGUGCCAGCGGCCGCGGUAAUAC